This 472-nucleotide ribosomal RNA is filed under the name uncultured bacterium. Its description in RNAcentral is "bacterial SSU rRNA". It matches the Rfam family "Bacterial small subunit ribosomal RNA", at positions 355 to 825 of the family's 1533-position model. The record is from RNAcentral.
UGGGGAAUUUUGGACAAUGGGCGCAAGCCUGAUCCAGCCAUGCCGCGUGUGGGAAGAAGGCCUUCGGGUUGUAAACCACUUUUGUCAGGGAAGAAACGGCUCUUACUAAUAUUAGGAGCUAAUGACGGUACCUGAAGAAUAAGCACCGGCUAACUACGUGCCAGCAGCCGCGGUAAUACGUAGGGUGCAAGCGUUAAUCGGAAUUACUGGGCGUAAAGCGUGCGCAGGCGGCUUUGCAAGACAGAUGUGAAAUCCCCGGGCUCAACCUGGGAACUGCAUUUGUGACUGCAAGGCUAGAGUACGGUAGAGGGGGAUGGAAUUCCGCGUGUAGCAGUGAAAUGCGUAGAUAUGCGGAGGAACACCGAUGGCGAAGGCAAUCCCCUGAACCUGUACUGACGCUCAUGCACGAAAGCGUGGGGAGCAAACAGGAUUAGAUACCCCCGUAGUCCCUGAGCGGGCUGGCAAGGCGCAU